This 75-nucleotide transfer RNA is filed under the name Planctomycetota bacterium. RNAcentral's name for it is "tRNA-Thr". It matches the Rfam family "tRNA". From Rfam's summary of the family: Transfer RNA (tRNA) molecules are approximately 80 nucleotides in length. Their secondary structure includes four short double-helical elements and three loops (D, anti-codon, and T loops). Further hydrogen bonds mediate the characteristic L-shaped molecular structure. tRNAs have two regions of fundamental functional importance: the anti-codon, which is responsible for specific mRNA codon recognition, and the 3' end, to which the tRNAs corresponding amino acid is attached (by aminoacyl-tRNA synthetases). tRNAs cope with the degeneracy of the genetic code in two manners: having more than one tRNA (with a specific anti-codon) for a particular amino acid; and 'wobble' base-pairing, i.e. permitting non-standard base-pairing at the 3rd anti-codon position. Lineage: Bacteria; Pseudomonadati; Planctomycetota. The record is from RNAcentral.
GCUGGUGUAGCUCAGUGGUAGAGCACCUCCUUGGUAAGGAGGAGGUCAUGGGUUCAAUCCCCAUCACCAGCUCCA